UGAGGAAUAUUGGUCAAUGGGCGCUAGCCUGAACCAGCCAAGUAGCGUGAAGGAUGAAGGCUCUAUGGGUCGUAAACUUCUUUUAUAUAAGAAUAAAGUGCAGUAUGUAUACUGUUUUGUAUGUAUUAUAUGAAUAAGGAUCGGCUAACUCCGUGCCAGCAGCCGCGGUAAUACGGAGGAUCCGAGCGUUAUCCGGAUUUAUUGGGUUUAAAGGGAGCGUAGGUGGACUGGUAAGUCAGUUGUGAAAGUUUGCGGCUCAACCGUAAAAUUGCAGUUGAUACUGUCAGUCUUGAGUACAGUAGAGGUGGGCGGAAUUCGUGGUGUAGCGGUGAAAUGCUUAGAUAUCACGAAGAACUCCGAUUGCGAAGGCAGCUCAAUGGACUGCAACUGACACUGAUGCUCGAAAGUGUGGGUAUCAAACAGG
Molecule: ribosomal RNA, 424 nt
Filed under: Fusobacteriota bacterium
Lineage: Bacteria; Fusobacteriati; Fusobacteriota
Description: Fusobacteria bacterium partial 16S ribosomal RNA
Rfam family: Bacterial small subunit ribosomal RNA
Source: RNAcentral